GUUCGUGCCGUGGAGUUUUUGUUUGUGCCGUGGAGUUUUUGUUCGUGCCGUGGAGUUUUUGUUCGUGCCGUGGAGUUUUUGUUCGUGCCGUGGAGUUUUUGUUCGUGCCGUGGCACCUGUGGGCCACCGUAAUUUCCGAACGCAAUACAAAAGUAUACAAAAUUUGCGAACUUUGCAAGGCUAUAUGUUCCGCAUUUUACAACAUUUCGCA
Molecule: non-coding RNA, 211 nt
Organism: Paramuricea clavata
Lineage: Eukaryota; Metazoa; Cnidaria; Anthozoa; Malacalcyonacea; Plexauridae
Source: the annotation of a GenBank genome assembly